This 1392-nucleotide long non-coding RNA is filed under the name Gouania willdenowi (blunt-snouted clingfish). RNAcentral's name for it is "lncRNA (ENSGWIG00000013787.1)". The record is from RNAcentral. Lineage: Eukaryota; Metazoa; Chordata; Actinopteri; Blenniiformes; Gobiesocidae.
AUGCUGAGUUUAAAGCCAACAAUUGUUGUUUUUUGGAUCUAUUAUUGUUUGAUACAAGUCUCAGGAACGGAUAUCAAAAACAUUACCUGUCAUGACAUAAAGACCAACAAUGGAUACAAGUAUACACAUAACUGUGUUGACAAAGAGAUAUCUGUCAUCAAUUUAGCGGACAAUAUAGUCAUUGCUAAUAUUGACAGAAAUGAGCAACAGAAGUUGGACUAUGUAAAAGAAAUUAACGAAACACACAUUAUAUUGAAGACGUGCCUCUCAAUCAAAGUGGAAUGCUCGAGUAAUGGCGUCAGCGGAUAUACGUCAAAGACAACCAUUUUUCGGGUGUCUAAAACUAAAGAAAGGGAGGGCAAUUCUACGAGCACAGAUGUGUUACCAUGGAUCAUUGGCAUUUUAGUUACAAUCCUGAUCAUCAUACUUUCCAUGUGUUGCAUCUGUUGCAUCUAUUGUUGGUGGAAAAAAUCAAAGAAGCAGAAUUUGCCGCUAACCUUUAGUGGUUUUAUGACGUAUCUACGAACUGGCUUUUGCUUCCGAACACGUUCUUUGCCUGAGAGUGGAAGCAACCAUUCGCUGGGAUCUUACUCUAGGCGUGAAGUCCAAGGGGUCUCAGCAGAUUUGGAAGAAACUGGACAGAAUGGAGGGAUCAGAACUCCACGUGAACAUGGUGAAAAUGAUCCGGAGCACGUUAACAGACCCGAAAGUGUGCAAAUUCACAGAUCUUACUCUGGGUGUGAAGUCCAAGUGGUCUCAGCAGAUUUGGAAGAAACUGGACAGAAUGGAGAGAUCGGAACUCCACGUGAACAUGGUGAAAAUGAUCCGGAGCACGUUAACAGACCCGAAAGUGUGCAAAUUCACAGUAUUGAUUUCCAGUCUGAUGGCAACACAGCUCGACCCCGUUGUCUGGAGUCCAGCUUAAGCAAUAAGCACAUGCUGCCAACUGAAAAGGACUUGGACUUGGAUGAUGAGGAAGAGCAACAGGCUGAAAGGCGAUUGCUGCUGUCGGAUCAGGGAGGUGCCAUAUCAUGUGGAACGAUGGCAUUGGUCUCCAACCCUCCCUCUGAUACUGAUGUGCCCAAACGGGCAUCCACAGCAGCCGUAAGACUCAGAUUUGAAUCAUUUCAUCUUUUUUACACAUUAUCGCUGUUUUUUUUGUUUGUUUGUUGUUUUUUUAACGUAUUGACCCUCCUUCCUUUUCCUUUUAUUCCAGGCUUGACGUGGAGGCAACACACUACAUACAGUACCUACAAGUUAUAUAUUAUAUAGAUACAUACAAUGAAUAACAGAUUAUAUAUAGCAUAUAAAUAUUAUUAUAAAUAUUUACAUGAAUACAUGUAAAACAUUAUAUCAUUAAUAAAUAAGCUGUAUGUGGGGUUUUAGAUGACA